This 460-nucleotide ribosomal RNA is filed under the name Aeromonas veronii. Its description in RNAcentral is "bacterial SSU rRNA". It matches the Rfam family "Bacterial small subunit ribosomal RNA", at positions 60 to 507 of the family's 1533-position model. The record is from RNAcentral. Lineage: Bacteria; Pseudomonadati; Pseudomonadota; Gammaproteobacteria; Aeromonadales; Aeromonadaceae.
AGUCGAGCGGCAGCGGGAAAGUAGCUUGCUACUUUUGCCGGCGAGCGGCGGACGGGUGAGUAAUGCCUGGGGAUCUGCCCAGUCGAGGGGGAUAACUACUGGAAACGGUAGCUAAUACCGCAUACGCCCUACGGGGGAAAGCAGGGGACCUUCGGGCCUUGCGCGAUUGGAUGAACCCAGGUGGGAUUAGCUAGUUGGUGAGGUAAUGGCUCACCAAGGCGACGAUCCCUAGCUGGUCUGAGAGGAUGAUCAGCCACACUGGAACUGAGACACGGUCCAGACUCCUACGGGAGGCAGCAGUGGGGAAUAUUGCACAAUGGGGGAAACCCUGAUGCAGCCAUGCCGCGUGUGUGAAGAAGGCCUUCGGGUUGUAAAGCACUUUCAGCGAGGAGGAAAGGUUGGUAGCUAAUAACUGCCAGCUGUGACGUUACUCGCAGAAGAAGCACCGGCUAACUCCGUG